AGGACCGCCGUAAUGAUUAAUAGGGACAGUCGGGGGCAUCAGUAUUCAAUUGUCAGAGGUGAAAUUCUUGGAUUUAUUGAAGACUAACUACUGCGAAAGCAUUUGCCAAGGAUGUUUUCAUUAAUCAGGAACGAAAGUUAGGGGAUCGAAGACGAUCAGAUACCGUCGUAGUCUUAACCAUAAACUAUGCCGACUAGGGAUCGGACAAUGUUAUUUUUUGACGCGUUCGGCACCUUACGAGAAAUCAAAGUGCUUGGGCUCCAGGGGGAGUAUGGUCGCAAGGCUGAAACUUAAAGAAAUUGACGGAAGGGCACCACCAGGGGUGGAGCCUGCGGCUUAAUUUGACUCAACACGGGGAAACUCACCAGGUCCAGACACAAUGAGGAUUGACAGAUUGAGAGCUCUUUCUUGAUUUCGUGGGUGGUGGUGCAUGGCCGUUCUUAGUUGGUGGAGUGAUUCGUCUGCUUAAUUGCGAUAACGAACGAGACCUUAACCUGCUAAAUAGACCGUAUUGCUUUGGCAGUACGCCGUCUUCUUAGAGGGACUAUCGGCUCAAGCCGAUGGAAGUUUGAGGCAAUAACAGGUCUGUGAUGCCCUUAGAUGCUCUGGGCCGCACGCGCGCUGCACUGACGGAGCCAGCGAGUACUCCCUUGGCCGGAAGGCCCGGGUAAUCUUGUUAAACUCCGUCGUGCUGGGGAUAGGGCA
This 705-nucleotide ribosomal RNA is filed under the name uncultured fungus. RNAcentral's name for it is "SSU rRNA". It matches the Rfam family "Eukaryotic small subunit ribosomal RNA", at positions 853 to 1583 of the family's 1831-position model. The record is from RNAcentral. Lineage: Eukaryota; Fungi.